UUUCCGUAGGUGAACCUGCGGAAGGAUCAUUACCUUUUCGAUGCACGAGGAUUGAGCGGGUAUAGGCAACUAUCCCCUCUCCUUGCUGUAUUAUGCCCUUGUUUUUUGAAUUCUAUCUGUUUCCUCGGCAGGAAUUCCUGCCGGUUGGAUAAAACUACAACCUUUUGAAUUUUCAAUCAGCGUCUGAACAAGUUAAUAAUUACAACUUUCAACAACGGAUCUCUUGGUUCUGGCAUCGAUGAAGAACGCAGC
RNAcentral lists this unclassified non-coding RNA (252 nucleotides) under uncultured fungus. Its description in RNAcentral is "sequence contains ITS1, 5.8S rRNA gene". The stretch from base 204 to 252 matches the Rfam family "5.8S ribosomal RNA", at positions 1 to 49 of the family's 154-position model. The record is from RNAcentral. Lineage: Eukaryota; Fungi.